RNAcentral lists this ribosomal RNA (541 nucleotides) under uncultured eukaryote. Its description in RNAcentral is "bacterial SSU rRNA". It matches the Rfam family "Eukaryotic small subunit ribosomal RNA", at positions 96 to 612 of the family's 1831-position model. The record is from RNAcentral.
GCUCAUUAAAUCAGUUGCGAUCUACUCGGCGUUCCGCGCCGCCGGAUAACCGUAGUAAUUCUAGGGCUAAUACGUGCGAAGCGCCCGAAGCCGCGAGGCGACGGGCGUUCUCGCCGGAUGUAGGAACCGACCCGGGGACCGCCGGGGCAACCCGGCGCCCCCGAGACGGGGCGAACCACGGUGAAAUGACGGAUCGUCGGCCCCGCGCCGGCGACUCGCCGAAUGAGUUUCUGACCUAUCAACUCGAGACGGCGGGGUAGAGGCCCCGCCGCGGUAACGACGGGGUAACGGGGAAUCAGGGUUCGAUUCCGGAGAGGGAGCCCGAGAAACGGCUACCACUUCCAAGGAAGGCAGCAGGCGCGCAACUUACCCUAAUCUCGAUUCGAGGAGGUAGUGACAAGAAAUACCGAUGCGGGACCCUACGGGGUGCCCGCGUUCGGAAUGAGUACGAUUCGAACCACCUAACGAGGAACGAUCGGAGGGCGAAGUCUGGUGCCAGCAGCCGCGGUAAUUCCAGCUCCAAUAGCGUACGUUAAAGUUG